RNAcentral lists this long non-coding RNA (1063 nucleotides) under Canis lupus familiaris (dog). RNAcentral describes it as "lncRNA (ENSCAFG00845007413.1)". The record is from RNAcentral. Lineage: Eukaryota; Metazoa; Chordata; Mammalia; Carnivora; Canidae.
AUGAACGUCCUAGCAAAGAGUGGUCCCCAGGGCAUGUGGCAGGGAGGGCAGGACGGUGCCCGGGGCGCAGUGGUCCGGAGGGCCCCGCGGCCCCCAGGCCGGCAGCUGGCCCCGGAGCGCCCCGCCUGGCGCAGAACGGGCAGCCUGCGUGGUGCCGUGGCAGGGCCGCCCUCCCCAGGGGCCGCGUUUCGGUGGCAAAGGGAGUGUCGCCUCGCUGGCUCCAGCAGCUCCCCCGGCGAGCGGGGCAGAGAGCAGCUCCUGGCAGCGGCUUUCGUGAAUCUUCCGUUUCUCUGGGCUGGGGCCUGGGUGAGGAGGCAGGCCAGGGCCCACCCUGGCCCGGCCAACCCCCGCCCGCGGCCCCCUCCUCUCCACACUGCGCAGGACGGUGCGGAGCGCCCAGGGGCCGGGCGACGUGAGAGCCGUGUGGCCCCUGGGGCCGGACGCCUGUCCACACUUGCCACACCCCACAUGCCCUGCACCCCUUGAUCCCCGACCUGCGGUUCGCACUGUCCCGGCCUCACCAUCCCCCCGCCCCAUCUCUGGCUGAAGAGCUGGGCCUUGGGGUCCAGGGGGAGUACCCCUGAAAAUGGAUGGCAUCAGGAAGGAGUGAUUGGGUAUUAACCUCUGGGAGGAAGGGGGCAGAGCCGUUGACCAAGGCAGCCACCCCCCACCGGGAGCAGCCCAGGGGGCCCUGCCCCCCCCCCCCCCCCACUGAGGACCGGCAGGCCCAGGAUGUCCCCCAGCGCCUCUGCACCGAGGGCACACGGCAGCUCCCGGCAGGCUCGCUGGGGGCAGGCUCGGCGCCCUGGGAAGCAGCUGGCAGCUUCUGGAAGCUCGGGGCCGGGCUCUGGGCUCUGGGGAGUGAGGCCACUCCAAGUCCCAACACGGUGGGAAGCCUUGGAAGGUUCCGGGCAGUAUGACGUCAUCUAAUUCAUAACCUUUAAUUCACAGAGGGGCGGGGGGACCUGGGUGGCUCAGUAGGCGAAGCCUCUGACUCUCGAUCUCAGGGUGUGAGCUCAAGCCCCAUGUCGGGCUCCACACUGGGUGCGCAGCCUGCUUAAGG